UACGUAGGGAGCAAGCGUUGUUCGGAAUUACUGGGCAUAAAGCGCGCGUAGGCGGCUGGGUCCGUCCGAUGUGAAAGCCCCCGGCUCAACCGGGGAAGUGCAUCGGAUACAGCCCGGCUUGAGGACGGUUGGGGUGAGUGGAACUCCUGGUGGAGCGGUGAAAUGCGUAGAUAUCAGGAGGAACACCGGUGGCGAAAGCGGCUCACUGGACCGUUACUGACGCUGAGGUGCGAAAGCUAGGGGAGCAAACGGG
RNAcentral lists this ribosomal RNA (253 nucleotides) under uncultured bacterium. RNAcentral describes it as "partial 16S ribosomal RNA". It matches the Rfam family "Bacterial small subunit ribosomal RNA", at positions 524 to 776 of the family's 1533-position model. The record is from RNAcentral.